Molecule: non-coding RNA, 112 nt
Organism: Acanthosepion pharaonis
Lineage: Eukaryota; Metazoa; Mollusca; Cephalopoda; Sepiida; Sepiidae
Source: the annotation of a GenBank genome assembly
UACGGUGAUAUCACGUGGAAACAACGUUUCUCGUACGAUCACCGAAGUUAAAAACGGCGUGCCUGGUCUGUACUUGGAUGGGUGACUCCUUGGGAAUAUCAGGUGAUGUAAU